Long non-coding RNA from Oncorhynchus tshawytscha (Chinook salmon), 4703 nucleotides. RefSeq lists it as uncharacterized. Lineage: Eukaryota; Metazoa; Chordata; Actinopteri; Salmoniformes; Salmonidae. The record is from RefSeq and is a predicted model, not a curated record. The transcript is spliced from 3 exons.
UAGCACUGAGAUGCAGUGCCUUAGACCACUGUGCUACUCAGGAGCCCAAUGUGCUCUAUAGGGAAUAGGAUGUCUUUGGGGACACGUGCAGUCUUUGUUUAAAUAUACCUAUUUUGUCAGCAUGGUAAAUCAUCAGUGUCUCCCAUUAGGGCUUGACCUUUGACCUGACAUUUUUUUAUUGUUUUGUAAUAUAGGUACUGCGUGCCCAUGUCAUGCGACUACAGUUUCAUAUAGCUACGACAGCACUCACACGUCUUGCUGCAUAAUGAUGCCACGUGUUGAGCAGAACGCAAUCAUCCACUGUCUAUGGUGUUUUGGUUUGGGGAGGUGGUGGUCAGCUGUCUGUGCUCCCUUAGUCUGCGUCCAUGAUGUCAGAGUGUCAUACAUACAGAUUCAAAUAGGACCCUAUAUUCAGACUUGAGAUAAGUUGACUUAAAAAAAUAAAAUAUGCUGAUUUAAGUCCAUGUUCUCUGAAUCGGGCCGAUAUAGCCUAUGGUGUCUCUAUGGUCACACAUUUAGCCUGGAACAGAAUUGACUACCGGGGAUGAGAUUAAGAGUAAGUCACUGGAUAGUUUAGUAGACAUGGACCAGUGUGUAGGUUGUGACGGGCUUUGCUAGGUGAGUAGGGUGUGGUCGACGGGCUGGCUAGGUGAGUAGGGUGUGGUCGACGGGCUGGCUAGGUGAGUAGGGUGUGACGGGCUGGCUAGGUGAGUAGGGUGUGACGGGCUGGCUAGGUGAGUAGGGUGUGACGGGCUGGCUAGGUGAGUAGGGUGUGACGGGCUUUGCUAGGUGAGUAGGGUGUGACGGGCUGGCUAGGUGAGUAGGGUGUGACGGGCUGGCUAGGUGAGUAGGGUGUGACGGGCUGGCUAGGUGAGUAGGGUGUGACGGGCUGGCUAGGUGAGUAGGGUGUGACGGGCUGGCUAGGUGAGUAGGGUGUGACGGGCUGGCUAGGUGAGUAGGGUGUGACGGGCUGGCUAGGUGAGUAGGGUGUGACGGGCUGGCUAGGUGAGUAGGGUGUGACGGGCUGGCUAGGUGAGUAGGGUGUGACGGGCUGGCUAGGUGAGUAGGGUGUGACGGGCUGGCUAGGUGAGUAGGGUGUGACGGGCUGGCUAGGUGAGUAGGGUGUGACGGGCUGGCUUAGAGGUAGACAGAGAAAUGUAAAACAUUAUAAACAGUUUCACUGCAGUUGACUAUAUUAUAUUUGUCUCUAUCACUUCAUACUAGUCUGCUUCUUGAACAGUUUGGUAAAUAAAUAAUAUUUUAAACUGGAUAAUGAGGGCUGGGGGAAUAGAUGUUAGUAGAUAGUGAGGUAAUUGAUGUUAGUAGAUAGGGAGGUAAAAGAUGUUAGCAGAUGAGGUAAUAGAUGUUAGUAGAUAGUGAGGGCUGCGGGAAUAGAUGUUAGUAGAUAGUGAGGUAAUAGAUGUUAGUAGAUAGUGAGGGCUGGGGAAUAGAUGUGAGGUAAUAGAUGUAGUAGAUAGUGAGGUAAUAGAUGUUAGUAGAUAGUGAGGGCUGGGGGAAUAGAUGUUAGUAGAUAGUGAGGUAAUAGAUGUUAGUAGAUAAUGAGGGCUGUGGGGAAUAGAUGUUAGUAGAUAAUGAGGGCUGUGGGGAAUAGAUGUGAGGUAAUAGAUGUAGUAGAUAGUGAGGUAAUAAAUGUUAGUAGAUAAUGAGGGCUGUGGGGAAUAGAUGUGAGGUAAUAGAUGUAGUAGAUAGUGAGGUAAUAGAUGUUAGUAGAUAAUGAGGGCUGUGGGGAAUAGAUGAUAGUAGAUAGUGAGGUAAUAGAUGUUAGUAGAUAAUGAGGGCUGUGGGGAAUAGAUGAUAGUAGAUAGUGAGGUAAUAGAUGUUAGUAGAUAGUGAGGUAAUAGAUGUAGUAGAUAGUGAGGGCUGUGGGGAAUAGAUGUGAGGUAAUAGAUGUUAGUAGAUAGUGAGGUAAUAGAUGUAGUAGAUAAUGAGGGCUGUGGGGAAUAGAUGUAGUAGAUAGUGAGGUAAUAGAUGUUAGUAGAUAGUGAGGGCUGGGGGAAUAGAUGUUAGUAGAUAGUGAGGUAAUAGAUGUUAGUAGAUAGUGAGGGCUGGUGGAAUAGAUGUUAGUAGAUAGUGAGGGCUGUGGGGAAUAGAUGUGAGGUAAUAGAUGUAGUAGAUAAUGAGGGCUGUGGGGAAUAGAUGUAGUAGAUAGUGAGGUAAUAGAUGUUAGUAGAUAGUGAGGGCUGGGGGAAUAGAUGUUAGUAGAUAGUGAGGUAAUAGAUGUUAGUAGAUAGUGAGGGCUGGGGGAAUAGAUGUUAGUAGAUAGUGAGGGCUGGGGGAAUAGAUGUUAGUAGAUAGUGAGGUAAUAGAUGUUAGUAGAUAAUGAGGGCUGUGGGGAAUAGAUGUUAGUAGAUAAUGAGGGCUGUGGGGAAUAGAUGUAGUAGAUAGUGAGGUAAUAGAUGUUAGUAGAUAAUGAGGGCUGGGGAAUAGAUGAUAGUAGAUAGUGAGGUAAUAGAUGUUAGUAGAUAGUGAGGUAAUAGAUGUUAGUAGAUAGUGAGGUAAUAGAUGUUAGUAGAUAGUGAGGUAAUAGAUGUUAGUAGAUAAUGAGGGCUGUGGGGAAUAGAUGUUAGUAGAUAAUGAGGGCUGUGGGGAAUAGAUGUAGUAGAUAGUGAGGUAAUAGAUGUUAGUAGAUAAUGAGGGCUGGGGAAUAGAUGAUAGUAGAUAGUGAGGUAAUAGAUGUUAGUAGAUAAUGAGGGCUGUGGGGAAUAGAUGUGAGGUAAUAGAUGUAGUAGAUAGUGAGGUAAUAGAUGUUAGUAGAUAAUGAGGGCUGGGGAAUAGAUGAUAGUAGAUAGUGAGGUAAUAGAUGUUAGUAGAUAGUGAGGUAAUAGAUGUUAGUAGAUAGUGAGGUAAUAGAUGUUAGUAGAUAAUGAGGGCUGUGGGGAAUAGAUGUUAGUAGAUAAUGAGGGCUGUGGGGAAUAGAUGUAGUAGAUAGUGAGGUAAUAGAUGUUAGUAGAUAAUGAGGGCUGUGGGGAAUAGAUGUGAGGUAAUAGAUGUAGUAGAUAGUGAGGUAAUAGAUGUUAGUAGAUAAUGAGGGCUGUGGGGAAUAGAUGUAGUAGAUAGUGAGGUAAUAGAUGUUAGUAGAUAAUGAGGGCUGGGGAAUAGAUGAUAGUAGAUAGUGAGGUAAUAGAUGUUAGUAGAUAAUGAGGGCUGGGGAAUAGAUGAUAGUAGAUAGUGAGGUAAUAGAUGUUAGUAGAUAAUGAGGGCUGUGGGGAAUAGAUGUGAGGUAAUAGAUGUAGUAGAUAGUGAGGUAAUAGAUGUUAGUAGAUAAUGAGGGCUGUGGGGAAUAGAUGUAGUAGAUAGUGAGGUAAUAGAUGUUAGUAGAUAAUGAGGGCUGGGGAAUAGAUGAUAGUAGAUAGUGAGGUAAUAGAUGUUAGUAGAUAGUGAGGGCUGGGGGAAUAGAUGUUAGUCCAUUGUACAGAAAGAAGAGUGAGACCAUUCCCAGCUAGCACAUAACGGUCUGAGAACCAUAUGUUUCUUAGAUCUUGGUGAGAGCGUUGUCUUGUCCUAGUUAUUUCGCAUAAAACCUUCCCACAGUGUUCUGGGAAUGUUACAGGAUAUCCAGCUAGCACAUAACCAGAACCCUAUUUUCCUAUGUGGGAAUGUCAUUAAAUCAGCAUAACAUUAUUUUUAUACCACUUUUUUCGUAGUAUCCAAAUUGUUACAAUCUUGUCCCAUCGCUGCAACUCCUGUACGGACUCAGGAGAGGCGAAGGUCGAGAGCCGUGUGUCCUCCGAAACACAACCCAACCAAGCCUCACUGCUUCUUGACACAACGCUCGCUUAACCCGGAAAGGCAGCCGCACCAAUGUGUCGGAGGAAACACCGUAUACCUGGCGACCGUGUCAGCGUGCUUUGCGCCUCUGCCCGCCACAGGAAUCGCUAGUGCGCGAUGGGACAAGAACAUCCAUGCCGGCCAAACCUCCCCUAACCCGGACGACAAUUGUGCGCCGCCAGAGCCUGGACUCGAACCACUGAGCCAGUUAGGAGGCCCAACAUAACAUUUUCUACGGGGUGCCUCGUGGUUCUAUUUAAAGUUAUGUUCUCAAUUCAUUCAGAGAACGUUAAGGAACAACGUUCUUCUGUGGGAAUUUCAGUACUUCAUUAUGGUCCUAUUUAAAAUGUUCUCAGAACGUUUCCAUAAAAAAAAACACAAUAAAACAUUAGAAACGCUCAAAGUACAUAAGAAUGUUAUUUAAAAACCUAUACACUCUGUUCUCUGCAUCAACAAAACUCUCUAUCCUCUAUCUUGUGUUAAGUAUGUUCAGGUGUCUUGGCCACGCCCACUAAUUGGCCACACCUGAUAUUAAUGAGUGCUUGUUUGUUUUGAAAUGGGUUUCUGUUUGAAUAGACAAAAUGGAACAGAUUUGUAUGAGUUAAAAAAACAACAUGGCAUUCUAGCACCAUCCUGGUGGCACAGUGGACUAAUUCCAUGGAGACAAUAGAAAAUCAUAGGUUAAAAUCUCACUGAUGCCGUGCCACAACAAAAACAGUUAACCUAAGCUAGCAGUAUUAUUAAAAGGCUUAUAGAAACAUGUUGUCAGAACGUUAUUUAAUUACCUUCAAAUAACCAAUCAUUUCCGUUCUCAUAAAGGUUAAUAAAACCUCCCAGUAAAACUUUCAGGGAACCGUAGUUAAACAUUCUCAGAACCUCCCUGGAACAAUAGUAAAAUGUUCUCAGAACCUCCC